ACUCCUACGGGAGGCAGCAGUGGGGAAUAUUGCACAAUGGGCGCAAGCCUGAUGCAGCAACGCCGCGUGAGUGAUGAAGGCCUUCGGGUCGUAAAGCUCUGUCCUCAAGGAAGAAUAAAUAGACGGUACUUGAGGAGGAAGCCCCGGCUAACUACGUGCCAGCAGCCGCGGUAAUACGUAGGGGGCGAAGCGUUAUCCGGAAUCACUGGGCGUAAAGGGUGCGUAGGCGGUUUUUCAAGUCAGAAGUGAAAGGCUAUGGCUCAACCAUAGUAAGCUUUUGAAACUGUUAAACUUGAGUGCAGGAGAGGAAAGUGGAAUUCCUAGUGU
RNAcentral lists this ribosomal RNA (327 nucleotides) under uncultured bacterium. RNAcentral describes it as "bacterial SSU rRNA". It matches the Rfam family "Bacterial small subunit ribosomal RNA", at positions 335 to 676 of the family's 1533-position model. The record is from RNAcentral.